Molecule: ribosomal RNA, 301 nt
Filed under: uncultured bacterium
Lineage: Bacteria
Description: partial 16S ribosomal RNA
Rfam family: Bacterial small subunit ribosomal RNA
Source: RNAcentral
CAGCAGCCACGGUAAUACGUAGGGUGCAAGCGUUAAUCGGAAUUACUGGGCGUAAAGCGUGCGCAGGCGGUUAUAUAAGACAGAUGUGAAAUCCCCGGGCUCAACCUGUGAACUGCAUUUGUGACUGUAUAGCUAGAGUACGGCAGAGGGGGAUGGAAUUCCGCGUGUAGCAGUGAAAUGCGUGGAUAUGCGGAGGAACACCGAUGGCGAAGGCAAUCCCCUGGGCCUGUACUGACGCUCAUGCACGAAAGCGUGGGGAGCAAACAGGAUUAGAUACCCCCGUAGUCCCUGUCUCUUAUAC